This 254-nucleotide ribosomal RNA is filed under the name uncultured bacterium. Its description in RNAcentral is "partial 16S ribosomal RNA". It matches the Rfam family "Bacterial small subunit ribosomal RNA", at positions 524 to 776 of the family's 1533-position model. The record is from RNAcentral.
GACGUAGGGCGCGAGCGUUGUCCGGAUUUAUUGGGCGUAAAGAGCUCGUAGGCGGCUUGUUGCGUCGACUGUGAAAACCUGCGGCUCAACCGUGUGGUCUGCAGUCGAUACGGGCAGGCUGGAGUUCGGUAGGGGAGACUGGAAUUCCUGGUGUAGCGGUGAAAUGCGCAGAUAUCAGGAGGAACACCGGUGGCGAAGGCGGGUCUCUGGAGCGGUACUGACGCUGAGACGCGAAAGCGUGGGGAGCGAACAGG